This 960-nucleotide ribosomal RNA is filed under the name uncultured cyanobacterium. RNAcentral describes it as "bacterial SSU rRNA". It matches the Rfam family "Bacterial small subunit ribosomal RNA", at positions 542 to 1501 of the family's 1533-position model. Lineage: Bacteria; Bacillati; Cyanobacteriota. The record is from RNAcentral.
UGUCCGGAAUUAUUGGGCGUAAAGAGCUCGUAGGUCGUUUGUUACGUCGGAUGUGAAAACCUGAGGCUCAACCUCAGGCCUGCAUUCGAUACGGGCAAACUAGAGUUUGGUAGGGGAGACUGGAAUUCCUGGUGUAGCGGUGGAAUGCGCAGAUAUCAGGAGGAACACCAAUGGCGAAGGCAGGUCUCUGGGCCAAUACUGACACUGAGGAGCGAAAGUCUGGGGAGCGAACAGGAUUAGAUACCCUGGUAGUCCAGACCGUAAACGGUGGGCACUAGUUGUGGGAACCUUCCACGGUUUCUGCGACGCAGCUAACGCAUUAAGUGCCCCGCCUGGGGAGUACGAUCGCAAGAUUAAAACUCAAAGGAAUUGACGGGGCCCCGCACAAGCAGCGGAGCAUGCGGCUUAAUUCGACGCAACGCGAAGAACCUUACCAGGGUUUGACAUCCUGCGAAUCUCUUGGAAACGAGAGAGUGCCUUCGGGAACGCAGUGACAGGUGGUGCAUGGCUGUCGUCAGCUCGUGUCGUGAGAUGUUGGGUUAAGUCCCGCAACGAGCGCAACCCACGUCGUUAGUUGCCAGCAUUUAGUUGGGCACUCUAGCGAGACCGCCGGUGAUAAACCGGAGGAAGGUGUGGAUGACGUCAAGUCAUCAUGCCCCUUACAUCCUGGGCUACACACGUACUACAAUGCUACGGACAAAGGGCAGCAAACUCGCGAGAGCUAGCAAAUCCCAUAAACCGUGGCUCAGUUCGGAUCGUAGGCUGCAACUCGCCUACGUGAAGGAGGAAUCGCUAGUAAUCGCAGGUCAGCAUACUGCGGUGAAUACGUUCCCGGGCCUUGUACGCACCGCCCGUCACACCAUGGAAGUUGGCCACGCCCGAAGCCGUUACUCCAACCCUUGUGGAGGAGGAUGUCGAAGGUGGGGCUGAUGACUGGGGUGAAGUCGUAACAAGGUAGCC